RNAcentral lists this long non-coding RNA (793 nucleotides) under Gopherus agassizii (Agassiz's desert tortoise). Its description in RNAcentral is "lncRNA (ENSGAGG00000005416.1)". Lineage: Eukaryota; Metazoa; Chordata; Testudines; Testudinidae. The record is from RNAcentral.
CCGCAGCCCCUGCCCCCCCAGCUCAGCAGGUGCCCCUCACUCCCGAGUCUCUGGCCCGCAGAGCGGCUGCUGCUGACGGUGGGCGAGGUCCCGGCGCUCUUCGUGCACGAGGGGAAGAAGAAGCUGGAGCGGAAACACGUGAACAUCAAGAACGGGGUGAAGGUGAGGGACCCCGGCGUCCGGGGUGGGUGGGAGCCGGAGCCCCCUGGAGGGGACAUUCCCCACCCCCCCGGAGCCAGGCAGGCCGGGGGAGCCGUGGGCCAGGCCGGGCCUGAGAGGGGGCGACUCCGGGGGGAUCUGGGGGCAGGGGGAGUCGAGGGGCCCCACGGUGAACCUCUCUCUCCCCCAGAAAUCAGCCUGCGAGGCGGACGCAAAGAAGGCCCCGAUUUACGCCAACGUGACGGACGUGAAGCAGGUGGUGACGCCCCGAUUCCUUUGCACCGGGGGAAUCGACCCCGUCGUGGACCCCAACACCUGCAAGGGCGACUCUGGGGGCCCCCUCAUCAUCGCCAAGGGCAAACGCUACAUCCAGGUGGGUGUGAUCAGCUGGGGCGUGUUCGAUGUCUGCAAGGCCCCCAGCCGCAGGGCCCCGGCACACGCCCGCGACUUCCACCUCAAUCUCUUCACCGUGCUGCCCUGGCUGCGGGACAAGCUGGCCGAGGAGGAGCUGGGCUUCAUCUGAGGGGGGCCAGGGGGACCCCAACCUGCCCCCAGCCCCCCCGCCACCCUGGAAAUAAAGGUUCAAUUCCCAGCCCUGCUGCACUGCGCGGCUGGGAGGCCCGUGAAGAGAGAG